GAUGAACGCUGGCGGCGUGCCUAAUACAUGCAAGUCGAGCGAACAGACGAGGAGCUUGCUCCUCUGACGUUAGCGUCGGACGGGUGAGUAACACGUGGAUAACCUACCUAUAAAACUGGGAUAACUUCGGGAAACCGGAGCUAAUACCGGAUAAUAUAUUGAACCGCAUGGUUCAAUAGUGAAAGACGGUUUUGCUGUCACUUAUAGAUGGAUCCGCGCCGCAUUAGCUAGUUGGUAAGGUAACGGCUUACCAAGGCGACGAUGCGUAGCCGACCUGAGAGGGUGAUCGGCCACACUGGAACUGAGACACGGUCCAGACUCCUACGGGAGGCAGCAGUAGGGAAUCUUCCGCAAUGGGCGAAAGCCUGACGGAGCAACGCCGCGUGAGUGAUGAAGGUCUUCGGAUCGUAAAACUCUGUUAUUAGGGAAGAACAAAUGUGUAAGUAACUAUGCACGUCUUGACGGUACCUAAUCAGAAAGCCACGGCUAACUACGUG
Molecule: ribosomal RNA, 497 nt
Filed under: uncultured bacterium
Lineage: Bacteria
Description: partial 16S ribosomal RNA
Rfam family: Bacterial small subunit ribosomal RNA
Source: RNAcentral